RNAcentral lists this long non-coding RNA (23208 nucleotides) under Triticum aestivum (bread wheat). RNAcentral describes it as "long non-coding RNA (TAES_LNC027141)". Lineage: Eukaryota; Viridiplantae; Streptophyta; Magnoliopsida; Poales; Poaceae. The record is from RNAcentral.
UUUUUUUGGGUACACGUUAAGCUUGUUCUUUUGAAAUUUCAAGCCGCGCCUUGUUAUGCCGAAAAUUGAAGCUAGCGUCUCUGUCUAUCGUGCUGCGAAACUCCCGCCUCUUCAACCCGCGCCUUGUUAGCCUGAAAUAUUUAAGAUAUAUCUUUGUCUCGUUGUGCUCCGACAACUCCCCCCAUCUCAACCCGCGCCUUGCUAUUCCGAAAUUACAACGCGCGCAAAAACUCCCACCUCCUGUGAAAUCCUGACACGCGAAAUGCCCAUGGUACCCCUGAACCGAAAGAACUGCCUCAAAUCGGUGGGGGGUACUUUCGUAACUUACCCCACAUUUCGGACAAGCGCGUCUCUAAGCCAUGGUUCCCCACUGACAUCCCAUCCGCCCACCCAUUCAUACACCGAGGCCGCGAAAACCCGCGACGAAACCCCACACCCUGCUCCGUCCGCCACCCAGCCGGAGCUUCUUCCCCGACGACGUCGUCCACAGCAACACCUCGAUGUCCCUCAUCCACCAUACCGGAUGAGGAUCCACCGUCGAUCUCAUCGUCCCGCCGGUUCAGCCACCCCGUCCUCCACCUCCAAGGAGCUGCCCUGACGUUCCCCUCGUCUUCGCGCCACCUCCAUUCCCACACCGCCGUCUUCACCUGCACCAUCGGAAGAGCAUCAUCAUCACUGUUUCCUCGGAUGAAGCUGCGGCCUAAUCGGCGCCACCAAAGAGGUUGUACACUAAUCGCCGCAUUUUGUUCUUGAUUCGAUCUCACGGUGCUGCCGGCGCUCGGUCCCGAGCCGACACGGCGCGGCUCCAUCCACGGCGGCGUCGUCGGCCACUUCCUCCACGGCGUCGCUCCCUCGGUGGCGACGUCCACAUCAGUAGGAGCUGCUGCUGCUUUAGCUCUUGCUCGCGCUGCUGCUCUGCUCUUGCUCUCGGUCCCCUGCCUGGUCUGCUCUUGCUAUUGCUCUUGCUAUUGCUCUUGCUCGUGCUGCUGCUCUCGCUCUUGCUCUUGCUUGCGAUGCUGCUCCGAUUUGGCUACACUUCAGUCGACUGAAUCAACUUUUGGGUUAGUUGAUUUCCAAGGGGUGGGCUUGCCGGGGUGAAGGAAGAACCAGCCGUAGCGGGGAGGGGGGCUCGCCGGAGAGGUACCCCACUAUCUAUCUUAGGGUUCAGGAUGGGGGCAGUGGUCGUCGGCGGUGGCGGGUCGUUGGCGGGGCGGUGGCGUGGGGAUCGUCGGAGAAAAAGCUCGGCACGGGGGGGCCUAGAGGGAUGGCCGGGGCGGCGGCGGACCGGCAGUGGGGAGUGUUUUCGAGGGGGGCGGGGCGGCACACCACCGGCCGCGGGCGGCGGGGGGCUGCUGUUUGGCCGGUGGUGGCUGGCGGCUCAGGGGGGGUGGAGGUUGAAGAUGAACCACAGGCCCUUGAUUUCAUAUCCAACGGCUGCAAAAUCGACUGACGUGUAGCCUCACCUUGCUAGUGCGUUCAGUUUCGACAGCAAAAUUCAGUUUCGACAGCAAAAUUCAGUUUCGACAGUUAGGUUCAGUUUUGACAGUUAAGUUCAGUUUCGACAGUUAAGUUCAAAGAUGAGCGGCUGAUGUAUUUUACAUCUAGCACUUUGUGGUUAUGUAUUUUACGUCAUGUAUUGGAGAUGCUAUUAGAAUUCCACUCAGGUUAACGUUGUUCGUUGUCUCUCUUGUCCUGCUUCAGCCUCGGCGUCGAACAACUCACCGGAGCUGCUCCAAUGAUGAAACCCUCCAUCACAGCGGAGCAGUACCUCGGGCUCCAUCUCCAGACGCCUAAGAUCUUCUUCCCCUCCUCCAACAGCAAAGUCAGCUGGAGCAUCCUCACCGGCCAACCCAAUCACGAUGAGAUCGACAUGGCUUUGCCAAAGAGGUUGUACACUUGUUGCAUCUCUUUUUUACUCUACAUGUUAUAUAUAUUAUCCACUGAGCACUCGUAGUAACGGGAAAUAUGAUUAUUUUAUCCUACUAUAUGACAAGCAGUGAGGUACCAGGAAACUUAGCUAUCCGUGAUGGACUCUCUUGAACGCCAUCAUUAUUUAUCUAUGCGCGUUUGAGCUGUGCAUUUGUCGAUGGGCCUGGGAGUUGAGCUAGUAUGGCAGUGGCCUGGGUCCAAAGUAAUAGAAGUAGCACAAAAACAUUUUUUUAGUGUAGGAUUUUCCUUGCUCAAGCCUACCUACUAGAAUCACCGGUGCUUGAAAGGAAAAGUGAAUGAAAAACAUAGGAAUUGGAAAGUUUCCUAUGGUACUACUUUUCAUGAAUUUGGUGCAAAGGAAUGGAGCAAAGGAAAACUGUAGGAUUUGUUCCUUUAGUGUCUCCUUGAAAGAAAAACCGUAGGAAUUCUAAUUUCCACUUCUCCUCCUUUUCAUAUUCCUAUUCAUCAAGCACAAGACUAAGAGAUAGUAGCAUAAUAGCAUUAUAACCAUACAUUUUCUUGUGGUUUGACUUAAUCUCACCAUGCUUUUUUGCAUCCUAUGAUCUUCCAAUUGUUGUGAAUCAAACACCCAGAUUGGCAGAAAUCCUGUGUUUUUAAAUUCUUUGUUUUGCAUGUGCAUUCCUAUCCUAUUCCUGUCUAUUUCCUAUCCCUGCAUUGUUAGAAUCCUCAAAUUCAAACAAGCCCUUACUCAAUUACUUCUGUUACAGAUAUGUGUCAAAGAAAACCUUGUGUGGUUUGUCCUGCUCCUGCGGCGCUGUGUUCCACCCCAGCUCAGCUGCUCCAAUGAUGGAAGGGUUCACCACAGCAGGGAUCCGCUCUCCAGACUGUCUUUCGCCGCCUCAGAUCUUCUUCCCCACCGCCGGCAGCCACGACAACUGCAUUACCAUCAUCAACUGAGCAGAUGACCUUGAGGACUACACGGGUCCGCAAGAGAGGUCGCACUCUUCCGUGUCUGCUUACGUUAUGCGUCGCUUAAUAUGAUGACAUGCUACAUUAUCAUCAUGUUCACCUAUUAGACUCCGAGUCAGGUCCAAAUUAAUGCUGAAACUUGAGUUUUUAAAUGGUUGUGGGGUACAUAUCGGGGUAGCAAUCAGUACUAUCUGUCUACUAUCUGGUUAAUCUCCGGUGUCUACUAUGUGUUUCAUGUUGGGUGCAAACAAACAUUAAAGGAGCCAUUAUCUGUAUUUUUUAACUAAAGCUAUUAUCUGCCUGCUAUCAUUGGUUUUGGGUCUAUCCACAGUUUGCUACCAUCACUCUGGAUUUGUGCAUGCACUCCUUACAUAAUCUCACUAUGUUUUAUUCCUAUGCAUGCCAGUUAUUGUACACAAUGGAACUGAUCAUGUAGAGCAAUAGAGAUGAGCCUUGUGUGGCAAUAAAAUUUCAUGCAGACAUCGUUCCAUGGUGGGCGCUAAGGCAGCCCCCCUCCACCCAUUUCGGAUCGUGAUCAAGAGGAAGAUAACUAUUCUGAGGGGGAUUCAGAAGGAGAAGACCACUCCUAUUUACCCCAUGAGGUCUUCGCUCUAACUUGGCAUGCUGAUGUUGGUAAUAUCAUGCAUAUGGUGCCUUGCAUUGCUUACUGUAUACAUUAAAGAUAUCAUCUGCUUAGUUUAGACAUGCUUUGUGUCAAUGCCAUCUGUUUUGUUUCUUUAUCAUAUAUGUGAAUCAUGCAAUGCCAUCUUGUCUAGCCAGGCAUCAUAUAUGUGAAUUUUGCAAUGCCACCCUGGUUAGCCAGUCAUCUUAUAUGUGAAUUAUAUCAUGCCAUCAUUUUUUUUAUUAUGUGUUAAAUUUGUCAACAAUUUUAGUACAUUCAAUUACUCUUCCUGUGCAUCAGCCAUUCGGCACGGUCAUGGAAAAAUCUGGAGUGGAAACAAGGUCUUCAGAGCAGACAAUGCUAUCUGAUGAAGCGCAUGUCUUGCUGGUUACCGAUAGCUCCUCAGAGGAGGAUUCAGAGACAGAUGACCAGUCAUAUUUCCCCCCUGAGGUGCAUGCCCUAACUUGGCAGGGUUAUGUUACUCAUAUCGUGCGUAUGGUAUCUUGCAUUGCUAUGUCAUUUGCUUAGUUUAGACAUGCUUUGUGUGAAUGCCACCUAUUUAGUGUCUAAUUACCAUAUAUGUGAAUUAUGCAAUGCCAUCUUGUUGCAAGACAUUAUAUAUGUGAAUUAUGCAACGUUAUCUUGUUGCAAGGCAUUAUGUAUGUGAAUUAUGCAAUGCCAUGUUGUUUAGGCAAGCGUCAUAUAUGUGAAUUAUAUCAUGCCGUCCUUUUUUUGUAUUUCUCAUUGCUUUUGUUGACAAUGUUUGUAUAUUCAACCAAUGUUGGGGAUAUCGCUUAUCGGGAACUUAUCGGCCAACCCAUGAUAAGGGGUAAAUCGGCCAGUUUAUCGGCAUAUCGGCCAAUUUAUCGCCAUAUCGGCUGAUUUAUCGGCCAAAUUAUCUUAUCGGUCAGACAACGGUAAGCGAUAAAUCGGCCGAUUUAUCGGAAUAUCGGAAGAUAUCUUGAACAGUGUAUUCAACUGAUCUUCCUAUGCAUCAGCCAUUUGAAUUGGUGAUGGAGAAAUCUGGAGUGAAAACAAGGUCUUCAGAGCAGACAAUGCUACCUGUUGAAGCAGAUAUCUUGCUGGUUUCAGAUAGCUCUUCAGAGGAGGAUUCAGAGGCAGAUGACUAGUCCUAUUAUCCCCCUGAGGUGUAUGCUCAAACUUGGCAAGGUUAUAUUACUCAUAUAAUGCAUAUAUUGUAUUGCAAUGCUUAUUUUUUACAUCAUAUACACAAUAUUGAAUGCCAUCUCCUUAGUUGACACAUCAUAUUGCAAUUGCCCUCUGCUCACUUCCUUAGUAUAUAAAUCAUAUAUUUGAAUUAUGUCAUGCCAUGAUGUUUACAUAGACAGCAUGUAUCUGAAUUAUGGCAUGCCAACCCAUUUUCUAAAGACAUAAUAUAGUUAUAUCAUCUCAUCCUAUUUACAUAGCCAUCAUAUUUUAAAUUAUGUCAUUCUAUCCGUGAAUUAUAUCAUGCCAUCAUGUUUCCAUCGACGGCAUGUUUGUGAUUUAUGGCAUGCCAACCACUUUAAUAGACACAUCGUAUAGUUAUAUCAUGUCAUCAUGUUUACAUAGUCAUCAUAUUUUGAAGUAUGUCAUUCUAUCAUGUUUAGUUAGCCAUCAUACAUGUGAAAUUGUGUCAUGCUAUCUUGUUUAAUUAGCCAUCAUAUAUGUCAAAUUAUGUCCUGCUAUUCUAUUUUCUUAGACAACAUAAAUGUGAAUUAUUUCAUGCCCUGUUUUCUUCCCUACUAUCCAUUGCACCUGUCUAUCUUACAAUGUCUGUACAUUCAAUUACUUUUCUUGUUUAUCAGCCAUUUCAAUUGGAGGGAGUGAUGGCAGUAUCUGUGGGAGUAAAAACACGGUCUUCAGAAAAGAUCGUGCUACCUGUCGAUGCAGAUAGAACCACGGUUGUACUUGCCCAAGAAUCAGCCCCACCACACAUAACCCACACUCAUGCAGAUUGUACCCCUACCCAGUUGGACAGAGAACCAGCUACACCCCUUCUAACCCCAACCCCAGCAGAUAGACACCCAGUUCCCGUUGACACAGCACCAUCUCCACCAUAGAGCACCCAAACACGAGCAGUUAGUAAGGCAACUGCAGUGCCCAAAUCACAAGGACCACCACUCUGAACCCGAAGUCAACGCUUAAAGCAGAAGAAGAAUUGUUCUCAGGUCAAGUUCCGUAGCUAUGGUUCAUACUACUUGCUCUUGCAUCACUGUAUUUACUAAUACCAACCAAUUUCAAAUUUGAAGGAUGCAAUUGAAACUCCAAUGGCGCAACAGGUAUGUUUUAAACCUGUUUCUUCAACGUGUUUGGCUGUUUGCUGUUGUAACUUGCUCUAUGUUGAUUUCAGUUUCAAUUGAAUAAACAGUUAUGUUCUCAUGCCAUGCACAUUACAAGUGUUGUUAUUGCUGUGUAGUUUCCCACACUUAUAUUCUAUCUAUGCUGCUUUGUCUUAAAUAGAUAUGAUUCGAACUGUAUCUAUCUUGAUUUGGCAACAUAAACUAGAAUGAUAUAGACCAUACAGUGACCAUACUACAUAGAUAUAUGUUUGUUUCAUGUUGUUAUCCUGUCCACCUUACUACUGAACUGGUUUACCAAAAUGAGUUUCAUAUACUACAUUGUAAACCUGAGAUGUGUUUGUUUGUUUCCCUUUUAGAACGCGGAUAAAAUAUUGGAGAAGAGUACCCUGUUAUGCAAUGGUAAAGGAAGUAAUGCAGAUAAGGUUCAAGAUAGUGAGACAUCCAAGUUGGUCUCCAAGAAAGCUGAUAAAAACUAUACUGAGGACACUGAGACAACCCCAAAGUCCUGUCUUGAUGUAGUGUUCGAGUUACUGGCUACCACUGCUGGCACCAGCUCUUCGAACUCGUUGCCUGAAUCAGUUCGGCUUCUUGAGUCUCAACUUCAAGUUGAAAGACAUCGAUCAGAUGUUAUGCGACAGGAAGCCGAAGGACUGAGGAAGUCCCUGCAAAAUUCAGAUGCAUACUUUCUGGUGCAACAGCAGGCGUUGGAGGACUUAAGCACCAAACAAGAGAAAGUUAAUAAGCUUGCUAAGCAUCUUGCCAGCAUUAUGGGUACCCAGGAUAUUGUUUCUUGAGCUCUUCUGAAGUGGUUUCAGUUCUGGACUUGUUUUGCUGCGGCGUUUAUAUGCUGCUGUGUUCCCUAUAUUUGCACUGGUGGCAAACUUUGAUGCCCAGUGGAUGUAAUAUGUGUAAUAGCCGUGAUAGCCUAGUGUAAGUUGCUUGCUUAUUUAUUUCCUUGUUUUCUUAUUUAUUUGUUUGCUUGUAGUCAAUGCAGUUCUUUUUCUGCGGUUUGCUAGUGGCUGCAACAACCUAUUUUUUAAAACUAGGCCACAAUGACCAUGGGCUAAUAUUUACUGUAGUGACACUGCACCUACGGGCCGUAGAAACAGUGGGCCUUCUACGGGCCGUAUAAAUAGUGGGCCUUCCACGGGCCGUAGAAACAAUGGGCCUUCUACGGGCCGUAUCAUCAAUGGGCCUUAUACGGGCAGUAUGAUCGAUUGGCCAAACAUGGGCCAAUAACAGGCCGUAUUAUGGCCGUAAACGGGCUAGAGUUGGAAUCGUCCGUUCAUGGGCCGAGCAUAACGGGCCAUCGUUAAUAGGUUGUAUUUCAUGACGCUGUGAAAACAGCCCAACAUGUUAACGGACCACAAAUGGGCCAACUGUAACCAUGGGCUGAAUUUGGCCCAUAAGCAGAAAAUGACAGUAAUGGGCCGUAAGUAAACGAAUGCUGGAAAUGAGCCCAAGAAUAAAUGGGCUCUGAGAAGGCCGAAAGAUAACAUGGGCUGGAAAUGGCCCAACGGAAUAACGGGCCCUUAAUGGGUAUAAAGUGAUACACUGUUCAUUACGGGCCAGUUUCACCAUGGGCCGUUAAUGGGUGUAAAGUAAUACACUGUUCAUUACGGGCCAGUUUCACCAGGGGCCGUUAAUAGGCCAAGAGUUACAUAGGGCCUCGUAUGGGCCGAAAGACGUCAUGGGCCAUACAUGGGCCAGAAGUGAAAACAGGCUGGAAUCAUAUUGGGUGGCCCAGAUGACGCUACUGGGCCUAAUUCGGAUAUGGCGUAACGGGCCUUGGGUUAGCGGGCUAUAAAUGGGCCAUAUGCGAAUAGGCCGUUAACAGGCUUUACAUGGGCCGGCCCGCCACCUUUUGACCAAGUCAAAUGGGCCGGCCUUUUCACAGGAAUGGGCCUCUGUUGGGCCGUGCCACAUGUCGACGUAUCAUAGGCGCCUUCUGUCCAAUGAGUGGAUGAAAUCUGUCCCAACGGUGAGCCGACACGUGUUUCCUCUAGCCAAUGAUGAUUUUACAUGUGGAAAAUCCCCAUUGGUCGGGGCUGUUAACAGGUUAUCGGAUCCAAAACCCGACCCGAUAGCUUAACGGCGUUCCGUUACGGUGGAUGCCACGUGUCGGUCACCCUUGACGAAAGCACUUCUGUGACGCACGAUUUAUCGUCAUGGAAGUGGACACUUCCGUGAUGAUAAUUUUGGUAAUGUCAUGGAACACUUCUACGACAGCACAGGUAUGACUAUCUUGAUUUUGUCAUGGAUGUACAUGCAUGACAAAAAACGCGACCUACUGUGACAAACAUGUAUCAUCACGGAAGUGUAUUUUUUUGUAGUGAAGCUUUGAUCACUGCACCUAUUGUUCAGCCACCUGAUUGGAAUUUACCUUUUGAAAUUAUGUGUGAUGCUAGUGAUUAUGCUGUAGGUGCUGUUUUAGGGCAAAGAGUCGAUAAGAAAUUGAAUGUUAUCCAGUAUGCUAGUAAGACUCUUGAUACUGCCCAGAGAAAUUAUGCUACUACUGAAAAAGAGUUCUUAGCAGUUGUGUUUGCAUGUGAUAAGUUUAGACCUUAUAUUGUUGAUUCCAAAGUUACUAUUCACACUGAUCAUGCUGCUAUUAAAUAUCUUAUGGAAAAGAAAGAUACUAAGCCUAGACUCAUUAGAUGGGUUCUCUUGCUCCAAGAAUUUGACUUGCAUAUUAUUGAUAGAAAGGGAGCUGAGAACCCCGUUGCAGACAACUUGUCUAGGCUAGAGAAUGUUCUUGAUGACCCACUGCCUAUUAAUGAUAGCUUUCCUGAUGAACAAUUAGAGGUUGUCAAUGCUUCUCGUACUGCUCCUUGGUAUGCUGAUUAUGCUAAUUACAUUGUUGCUAAAUAUAUACCGCCUAGUUUGACAUACCAGCAAAAGAAAAAGUUCUUUUAUGAUUUAAGACAUUAUUUCUGGGAUGAUCCACACCUUUAUAAAGAAGGAGUAGAUGGUAUUAUUAGACGUUGUGUGCCUGAGCAUGAACAGGAACAAAUCCUACGCAAGUGUCACUCUGAAUCCUAUGGAGGACACCGCGCUGGAGAUAGAACUGCACACAAGGUACUAAAAUCUGGUUUUUAUUGGCCUACUCUUUUCAAAGAUGCUCGUAAGUUUGUCUUAUCUUGUGAUGAAUGUCAAAGAAUAGGUAACGUCAGUAGACGUCAAGAAAUGCCUAUGAAUUAUUCUCUUGUUAUUGAACUGUUUGAUGUUUGGGGCUUUGAUUAUAUGGGACCUUUCAUGCUUCCAAUGGUUAUACACAUAUUUUAGUUGCUGUUUAUUACGUUACUAAGUGGGUAGAAGCUAUUCCAACUAGUAGUGUUGAUCAUAACACUUCUACUAAAAUGCUUAAAGAAGUUAUUUUUCCGAGGUUUGGAGUCCCUAGAUAUCUUAUGACUGAUGGUGGUUCACACUUUAUUCAUGGUGCUUUCCGUAAGAUGCUCGCUAAGUAUGAUGUCAAUCAUAGAAUCGCAUCUCCUUAUCAUCCGCAGUCUAGUGGUCAAGUAGAGUUGAGCAAUAGAGAGCUCAAAUUAAUUUUGCAAAAGACUGUGAAUAGAUCUAGAAAGAAUUGGUCCAAAAAACUUGAUGAUGCAUUAUGGGCCUAUAGAAUUGCAUACAAAAAUCCUAUGGGUAUGUCUCCAUAUAAGAUGGUUUAUGGAAAAGCGUGUCAUUUACCUCUUGAACUUGAACAUAAGGCAUAUUGGGCUAUUAAAGAGCUCAAUUAUGAUUUCAAACUUGCCGGUGAGAAGAGGUUAUUUGAUAUUAGCUCACUUGAUGAAUGGAGAGCCCAAGCAUAUGAGAAUGCCAAGCUUUUCAAAGAAAAAGUCAAACGUUGGCAUGAUAAGAGGAUACAAAAGCGUGAGUUUAACGUAGGAGAUUAUGUGUUAUUGUUCAACUCUCGUUUAAGAUUUUUUGCAAGAAAACUUCUCUCAAAAUGGGAAGGUCCCUACGUUAUCGAGGAGGUCUAUCGUUCUGGUGCUAUAAAAAUCAACAACUUCGAAGGCACAAAUCCGAGGGUGGUAAACGGUCAAAGAAUUAAACAUUAUAUUUCAAGUAAUCCUAUGAAUGUUGAAACUAAUAUUAUUGAAACCAUAACCCCUGAGGAAUACAUAAGAGACACUUUCCAGAACGUUCCAGACUCCGAAAAGGCAUAGGUACGUGGUACGGUAAGUAAACCGACUCCAAAACAACUCUAAUGGCAAUUUUUAUCAGUUUUGGAUUAUUUAAAGAUUUUAGGAAGAAAGAAGUAGUCCGAAAGGGGCAUGAGGCUCCCACAAGAGAGGAGGGCGCCCCCCCCCCUGUAGGGUGCGCCCCCCUGUCUCGUGGGCACCUCGUGUGCCUCCCGGACUCUGUUUUCUUGUAUGUUACGUAUUUUGGUUGGUAAAAAUUCAUUAUAUAUACUCCCGAAGGUUUUGACCACCGUAUCACGCAAAUAUCCUUUGUUUUCGUUUCGAGUUGUUCCUGUUGCAGAGUAAAGCAAGAUGUCUUCUCAGGAGUCAGUUGGGGAGAGCCGGGUGUCUCACCCAUCGCCAGGUCCAGGAGCAAAUAGCGAUGCCUAUCACUUUGGACCAUCAAAGGAGGAUGAGAUGGAGGAUGAUUUGAAAAGGAUAGAUGCCAUGGAGGAAGAUCAAGAAGUUACCUCUCGUCUCCAAGCAUAAUUCACUAUGGGGGAACUACCUAGCCUGGCUGUCCCUGCUUCGGUCAUCCCUUCCAACUCUAGAUUUCUUUCUUAUGAAAAUAUGAAAAAGAGUCUCGUGUGUUCUCCAGAAGCUAUGCAGCAUCCUUGGGUAAAAGGAGCUUUGGCCAUUACGGGCAAGCUCCAUAAAGAAAUUAUGGACCUCAAAUAACAAGUCAAUAAGCUCGAGGAGGAGAACCGUAUCCUGAAUGGAAUCAUCGCCAAGAAGAUCAUAACACCAACUGUGAAGAAGGAGAAAUAAUCACAUGGGUAUGGGCACUCCCCUUGGCAACUGCCAAGCUUGGGGGAGGUGCCCCGGUAUCGUAUCACCAUCACACUCCUAUCUUUACCGCUUUAUUAGUUCGAUCCUUUUAGUAGUAUCUUGAUCUAGUAGUUCGAAGUUUUGAUAUCAAGUAGUUUUGAGUUUUGCUUUGUGAUCUCUUUAUGUAAUCGAGUCCGUGUGCUAUCUAUAAUAAAGAUUAGUGUUGAGUCAAGGGCUUUGCCAUGUUGCUAUGAUCUUGUGAAAGUAGAAAGAACAAAAGAGUUCAUAUUGAUCUUAUGGAUAGUGAUAACUUCACACAUAGAAAGUAUGAGGCAUAAAAAUUGUUGAGAGUUGAUGAACGUAGCCUUGGUCAUCGUUGCAAUUAAUAGGAAGUGAUAAGGAAAGAGGGUUCAUAUAUAAAUAUAUUAUCUUGGACAUCUUUUAUGAUUUUGAAGCACUCAUUAAGUAUGACAUGCUAAAAGAGUUGACGUUGGACAAGGAAGACAACGUAAUGGUUUAUGUUUUCCGACAUCUCAGUUAAAGUAUAUUGUCAUUGACCUUCCAAACAUGUUGAGCUUGCCUUUCCCCCUCAUGCUAGCCAAAUUUCUUGCACCAAGUAGAGAUACUACUUGUGCUUCCAAAUAUCCUUAAACCCAGUUUUGCCAUGAGAGUCCACCAUACCUACCUAUGGAUUGAGUAAGAUCCUUCAAGUAAGUUGUCAUCGGUGUAAGCAAUAAAAAUUGCUCUCUAAAUAUGUAUGACUUAUUAGUGCAGAGAAAAUAAGCUUUGUAUGAACUUGUUGUGGAACUAAUAAAAGCGACGGAUUGCAUAAUAAAGGUCCACAUACAAGGGGUAAUAUAAAGUGACGUUCUUUUGCACUAAGAUUUUAUGCAUCAACCCUAAACGUGCAUGACAACCUCUACUUCCCUCUGCGAAGGGCCUAUCUUUUACUUUAUGUUUUUACUUUAUGCUUGAGUCAAGGUGAUCCUCACCUUUCCCUUUUUAUUUUUAUCCUUUGGCAAGCUCCUCAUGUUUGAAAGAUCAUGAGACAUAUAUCCAAUUGAUGUAAGUUGGCAUAGGCUAUUAUUGUUGACAUCACCUAAAGGUGAAUAUGUUGGGAGGCAACAGAAUAAGCCCCUAUCUUUCUCAGUGUCCGGCUAAAACUCUAUAACCACAAGUAUUGCGUGAGUGUUAACAAUUAUAGGGGACUAUGAGAUAGUUGAGUAUGUGAGCUUGCUGAAAAGCUCUAUUAUUGACUCUUUCUAAUGUUACGAUAAAUUGCAAUUGCUUCAAUGACUGAGAUUAUAGUUUGUUAGUUCCCAAUGAAGUUUUUGAACCAUACUUGACAUUGUGAAUUGUUUAUUACUUUAACCUAGGAAAUCAUAUGACAAAAUCCAUUUAUGUUGCUAUUAUUAGAAUGAUCAUGAUGCCCUCAUGUUCGUAUUUUUUUGACACCUCUAUCUCUAAACAUGUGGACAUAUUUUUCGAUUUCGGCUUCCGCUUGAGGACAAGCGAGGUCUAAGCUUGGGGGAGUUGAUACGUCCAUUUUGCAUCAUGCUUUUAUAUCAAUAUUUAUUGCAUUAUGGGCUGUUAUUACACAUUAUAUCUCAAUACUUAUGGCUAUUCUCUCUUACUUUACAAGGUUUACCAUGAAGAGGGGGAAUGCCGGCAGCUGGAAUUCUGGCUGGAAAAGGAGCAAACGUUGGAAACCUAUUCUGCACAACUCCAAAAGACCUGAGACUCCACGAAACAACUUUUUGGAUUUAAUAAGGAUUUAUGGGCAAAAGAAAUAGGCCAGGGGGCCCACACCCUGUCCAGGAGACAGGGGGCGCCCCCCACCCCCUAGGGCGCGGCCCCUAUCUCCUGGGCCCCCUGGUGGGUUUCCGGCAUCCAUCUUCUGCUAUAUGAAGGGUUUUGUCCUGGAAAAAAUCGUGGGUAAGCUUACGGGACGAAACUCCGCCGCCACGAGGCGGAACCUUGGCGGAAUCAAUCUAGGGCUCUGGCGGAGCUGUUCUGCCGGGGACACUUCCCUCCGAGAGGGGGAAAUCAUCACCAACGUCAUCACCAACGAUCCUCUCAUCGAGAGGGGGUCAAUCUCCAUCAACAUCUUCACCAGCACCAUCUCCUCUCAAAACCUUAGUUCAUCUCUUGUAUCCAAUCUUGUAUCAAAACCACAAAUUGGUACCUGUGGGUUGCUAGUAGUGUUGAUUACUCCUUGUAGUUGAUGCUAUUUGGUUUACUUGGUGGAAGAUCAUAUGUUCAGAUCCUUUAUGCAUAUUAUUACUCCUCUGAUUAUGAACAUGAAUAUGCUUUGUGAGUAGUUACGUUUGUUCCUGAGGACAUGGGUGAAGUCUUGCUAUUAGUAGUCAUGUGAAUUUGGUAUUCGUUCGAUAUUUUGAUGAGAUGUAUGUUGUCUUUCCUCUAGUGGUGUUAUGUGAACGUCGACUACAUGACACUUCACCAUUAUUUGGGCCUAGAGGAAGGGAUAGGGAAGUAAUAAGUAGAUGAUGGGUUGCUAGAGUGACAGAAGCUUAAACCCUAGUUUAUGCGUUGCUUCGUUAGGGGUUGAUAUGGAUCCAUAUGUUUAAUGUUGUGGUUAGGUUUACCUUAAUACUCCUUUUUGUAGUUGCGGAUGCUUGCAAUAGGGGUUAAUCAUAAGUGGGAUGCUUGUCCAUGUUAGGGCAGUACGCAAGUGUCGGUCCACCCACAUAUCAAAUUAUCAAAGUACCGAACGUGAAUCUUACGUACGUGAUGAAAACUAGCUUGACGAUAAUUCCCAAUGUGUCCUCGGGAGCUCCUUCUUCAUUAUUAGAAUUUGUCCAGGCUUAUCCUUUGCUACAUAAAGGAUUGGGCCACCUUGCUGCACUUUAUGUACUUUAUUUACUUUUUGCUUGUUACUAUUUAUCUUAUCACAAAACUAUCUAUUACCUACUAUUUCAGUGCUUGCAGAGAAAACCUUACUGAAAACCGCUUAUCAUUUCCUUCUGCUCCUCAUUGGGUUCGACACUCUUACUUAUCGAAAGGACUAUGAUAGAUCCCCUAUACUUGUGGGUCAUCAUUCAUCGGGAGGGCUUGGACGGAACAGGCGAUGGAAACGAGGCCUGGCGUACCGCAGAACGGAGGAAACGGCCUUGUGUUCGACCGGCCAUGUUCGAAACGGGAUCCUGUUCAUCGGGAGGGGUCUGGGGUACCGCAAAACGGAGGAAACGGACCUCCUACGGUCGAAACGGGGGUCCUGUUGAUCGGGAGGGGUGUGGCAUACCGCAAAACGGACAAAACGGACUAGUGUUGGAGCGCUACGGUUGAAACGGGGGUCCUGUUCAUCGGGAGGGGUGUGGCAUACCGCAAAACGGGACUCCACGGGAUACUGUUCAUCUCCACCGUCGACCUCCUCCAGCCUCCACGGGCUACCGUCGAUCUCCUCCAGCCUCCACGGGCUCCUGUUCAUCCAGCCUCCACCGCGCGCUACUCCACCGGCUACUGUUCAACCACCCCUCCACAGGCACCCCUCCACCGUCUAUUGUUCAUCCAGCCCUCCACGGGGUCGUCCUAUUCAUCCAGCCCUCCACGGGGUCCUGUUCAUCCAGCCCCAACCGGCUCGAUCGAGGCAAUGCCACNNNNNNNNNNNNNNNNNNNNNNNNNNNNNNNNNNNNNNNNNNNNNNNNNNNNNNNNNNNNNNNNNNNNNNNNNNNNNNNNNNNNNNNNNNNNNNNNNNNNNNNNNNNNNNNNNNNNNNNNNNNNNNNNNNNNNNNNNNNNNNNNNNNNNNNNNNNNNNNNNNNNNNNNNNNNNNNNNNNNNNNNNNNNNNNNNNNNNNNNNNNNNNNNNNNNNNNNNNNNNNNNNNNNNNNNNNNNNNNNNNNNNNNNNNNNNNNNNNNNNNNNNNNNNNNNNNNNNNNNNNNNNNNNNNNNNNNNNNNNNNNNNNNNNNNNNNNNNNNNNNNNNNNNNNNNNNNNNNNNNNNNNNNNNNNNNNNNNNNNNNNNNNNNNNNNNNNNNNNNNNNNNNNNNNNNNNNNNNNNNNNNNNNNNNNNNNNNNNNNNNNCCCCCUCCCCCCCCUCGCAACGCUCACUAUUCAUCUAGAGAGGCAGCAUCGACCGGCUUCAGUUAGCAGCAGUAGCGAAGGAAUCGCUCGAUCGGGUUCAGUUAAUAGCCAUCGAUCGAUCACUCAGAUUCAGUAACGUGUAGCCUGCAGUGCAAUCGCUUGGGUUCAGUUAGAGCCCAAUGCCUCGCUCGGGUUUAGUUAGAGCCGAUGCCUCGCACACACGCGCGUACGUGUACAAGAGAAACGCGCAUCACUCGGCCCCCGACCACCCACCGUAACCGGGAACUCCCCGAAAUUUUCCUCGCCCUCUCUUCUACCAUGGUUUUUUCCGUCAUGGACGGCCCAAAGAAUGUCAUGCAGCUGCGUCUCCGGCGCGCCCAGGACGAAAAGCCCAUUUUCUGUCAUGAUUUUUUGUCAUAGAAGUAGGAGCCCACCACAUCUAUGAUGAUACCGGGUUUUGCCACAAUUAUCGUCAUAGAAGUGUCAUAUGUAUGACAGAAAAAAAGUUUCGUUCGGCCCAAAAUGUCACGGAUGUGUCUUUUUUUUGUAGUGCACAUUUUGAACCAAGUUGGUCUGACAGAGUUUAACCAUUCGGUCCCACCGAGUUUGGGAAUUUGUGUGUAACGGUUAGAUUUUGUGUGGAGGCUAUAUAUACCCCUCCACCCCCUUCUCCAUUUGUGAGAGAGCCAUCAGAACGUGCCUACACCCCCACUACUCAUUUUUUGAGAGAGAACCACCUACUCAUGUGUUGAGACCAAGACAUUUCAAUCCAACCACAAGAAUCUUGAUCUCUAGCCUUCCCCAAGUUGCUUUCCACUCAAAUCAUCUUUCCACCAUAGCCAAAUCUAUGUGAGAAAGUUGAGUGUUAGGGAGACUAUCAUUUGAAGCACAAGAGCAAGGAGUUCACCAUCAACAAACCAUCUAUUACCUUUUGGAGAGUGGUGUCUCCUAGAUUGGUUAGGUGUCACUUGGGAGCCUUGGUCAAGAUUGUGGAGUUGAACCAAGGAGUUUGUAAGGGCAAGAAGAUCGCCUACUUCGUGAAGAUCUACCCUAGUGAGGCAAGUCCUUCAUGGGCGAUGGCCAUGGUGGGAUAGACAAGGUUGCUUCUUCGUGGACCCAUCAUGGGUGGAGCCCUUCGUGGACUCGCGUAACCGUUACCCUUCAUGGGUUGAAGUCUCCAUCAACGUGGAUGUACGAUAGCACCACCUAUCGGAACCAUGCCAAAAAUCUUCGUGUCUACAUUGCUUUUGCUCCCUCCAAAGUCCUCUGUUUACCUUCAUAUGCAAUGAUUUACAUUCCGCUCCUAUACUCUUGGAAUUGCAUGUGUAGAUUGUUUGCUUGACUAAGUGCUAAGUUGCUAAAAUCUGCCAAGACUUAAAAUUGGGAAAAGGCUAGACUUUUAUUUGGUCAAGUAGUAUAAUCACCCCCCUCUAGACAUACUUUCGAUCCUACAAGUGGUAUCAGAGCUUUGGUCUCCAUUUGCCUUGAUUUCCAUUGCUUUGGUGAUCAUAGCCUUGGUUUCACAACCUAGGAGAGUAUGACGUCUAGUGAGGGAAAUUACCACCGUAGAGGUCCUUACUUUGAUGGCACUAAUUUUGCUAGUUGGAAGCAUAAGGUGAAAAUGCAUAUUCUUGGACAUAACCCCGCCGUUUGGUUUAUUGUGUGCAUUGGUUUGCAAGGUGAAUUCUUCGAUGGGAGAGAACCAAAUCGUGAAGCAACUGCAGAAGACUAGAAGAUGUUGCAAUACAACGCUCAAGCUUGCGAUAUCCUCUUCAAUGGAUUGUGCCCCAAAGAAUUCAACAAAAUCAGCCGUCUUGCGAAUGCAAAGGAAAUUUGGGAUACUUUGAUUGAUAUGCACGAAGGUACCGAGUCAGUCAAGGAAUCCAAGUUGGAUGUGCUUCAAAGUCAACUUGACAAGUUCAAAAUGAAGGAUGGUGAAGGUGUCGCUGAAAUGUACUCUAGGCUUGAUCUCAUCACAAAUGGGAUUGUCGUCUUAUGAAGUGAAGAGAUGACUGACAUAUUCAUCAUCAAGAAGAUCCUAAGAGAAUUGGAUGGAAAAUAUGAUACCGUGUGCAUAUUGAUCAAAAUGAUGCCCAAUUACAAAGAUCUCAAGCCAACGGAAGUCAUUGGAAGAACUGUUGCUCAUGAGAUGUCACUCAAGGAUAAAGAAGAGCUUCACAACAAGUCUAGUGGUGCACAUAAAGCCUCAUGUGAUGCUCCUGCAACAUUCAAGUGAAAAACAAGUCUUCAAUGAGGAAUUGAGCUUAAUGGUUAAGAACUUCAACAAAUUCUACAAGAGUAGAAGCAAAGAGAGAAGCUCCAAGUCAAGAUCCUACCAUGACAAAAGAUCUUCUAGUCGUGAGUGAAAUUACUACAAUUGUGGAAGACCCGCAAACUACUCUAAUGAGUGUACGGCUCCCUAGAAAAGAAGAGAAGACUCACCUAAAAGAAGUAGAAGAGAAGAAUCACCUCCAAGAGAGAGAAGGAGUAUAGAUGAUCGUUAUGAACGAAGAACCUCUCGCAGAAGCAAGGAUUCGGAAAGGAAGGACAAGUCAUCAAAGAGCUACACAAAAGAAAGACAUCAAGCUCAUGUUGGUGAAUGGGUAUCCGGUUCUGACUCCGACCACCACUCCAAGAGAAGUUAUCACUCCGACUCCGAAUAUACUCAAGAUGAGGGUGUUGUCGAUCUUGCACUUGUGUCAACCAACUCCUAUGACAUAUUUGAGUCACCAAAUGAAGGAAUUGGAAGAUGCUUCAUGGCUAAAGGCCCCAAGGUACCACACCCCGAGUAUUUUGAUUUCAACAGUGAUGAAGAUGACUUGCUAGGUGAUGAUGAUUUACUUGUUGACAAUGCUAGUGAUGAAAACUAUGAUGAAAUUGCUAUUAAUCAUGCUAAACAAGAUGAAACGAAUGAUAAUGAUAAGAAGGAGAUUGAGCGUCUAACUAAAGAACUAAACACUCUUAAGUUAUCUCAUGAAACUACUUUAGAAGAUCAUCGAGAACUUUUAAAAACUCAUGAGAAGCUACGCUUCGAGAAGCUCAACCUAGAGAAAGAACAUGGGUCCUUAAAAGCCAUCAAUGAUGAUCUUCGGAAGAAAAGUUCUUCUUACAUUGCCAAGCGUUUACUCUUGUCUACUUACAUGCCACAAGUAAAAUCUAGCAACAAGAGUAAGAAGAUUCUUCUUCUAGUAGUAACAAUAAUCAUGCUAAAUCCAAUAUUGUUGCUUCUAGUAGUUCUCUUGAUUCCACUAAUGAUUCUCUUAGCCAAGGUACACUUGAGCAAGAAAAUAGCUUAUUGAAGGGAAUUAUAGAGGAAGGUGUUUACAACAGCCUUGCCAGAAAUAAGCAAUUUGAGGAAAUUGUAUGCAAGCAAGGAAGGCACCAGAAGAAUCAAGGUGUUGGUUUUGGAUGGAAGUUCAAUGCCAAUGGAUUUGAGUGGGAAGAAGAUCAAUACCCCAAGACAGAGUUUGUUCCUCAACAAGAGAAGUAUGAUCCUACUUCCUUUAAGGGGACACAAGCUCAAGAUGAUCUUCCACCACAAGACCACAAGCUAAAAGGCAAGGACAAGCUUCAAGAGGAAAUUGGUGCAUUUGAAGAAGCUCCAAAGGCCUUGGUCAAGUGGUUUCCCAAGUCCACCUCAAGUUUUACUUCAUCAAGUACAUCUACAACCCCAAGGAUUCCCAUCAAGAUGAUGUGGAUCCCGAAGAAGAAGAACUAGAGAGUUCUUGAGGGUGACUUCGCCAACAUACUUCACUAAUAUUCAUAUUGGCAAGAACAAGUGCAAUCAACUUCCACAUCUUGCACUAGUUCAAGGAGUCACAAACUCUCUUAUUAAUAAGUCAAGGGACAAGGUAACCUAAUGUUUUCAUGGACGUCAUCGUGUAUGUACUUCACUCUAUCUCUAUGGAUACUAGUAGACUGCCCGUGUGUUGCCACGGGCUCUUGAAAUAGUUUGCAAGAGUUACAUGUUAACUUUCUAAGGCCUCACGCCGCCGUAGAUCCAGACCCCCGCCACUGAUUCCACCCCGCAUAGGCCGCCGCCUGCCGCCGUGCUGCCCCAUCACGUUCGCCUCCGCCCGGCCGCCGCGACCCUGCCCGCCUCCUCUCCGACCGCCUCCGCCUCCUGUCCAUCCUCCGCCCGGCCCCGCUUCAUCCGCCUCCUCUCCGGCCAUGCUCCGUCCGCCUCCUCUCCGGUCCGUCCGCCACCCCACUUCGUCUGCUUUCGCCCCGAGCCGCACGCCGCCGCCCCGCUCCGUCCGCCUCUGCCCCACACUGCACGUCGCCGCCCCGCUCCCCACUCGGCCGCCGCCUGCUCCCCGAUGGCGCCAAAGAAGACGCCAAAGGGAAAGUCCGGUUUCUUCGGCAUGAGGGCGAAGCCCUCCGGGAACUUCGGACUGGAGUUCUCUGACGCCAGGCAGCGUUGGUGGCUCGGCACGUAUCCCACUGUCGAUGAGGCUGCUCGUGCCUACGACGUGGCGGUGUGGCGUGCCGGUGGGCCGAAGACGGACCUAAACUUCCCGGAGGUCGAGUCCCAGCCGGUGGCGGAGUGGCUCGUGCCGCAGGGCAUCCAGAUGGAGGAGAUGCCGGCUAAGAAGGCGAAGAAGAGACAGGCGGUGUCGCUCCCGACGAGAGCGACGAGGCGGCGAUGGCUUGGUUUGCGCGAUUUGCAAUUUGUUGCAAAGCCAUCUCUAAUGAAAUGCUAUUUGCUACAUUUUUAAAUAGGAAAAUUAUUCCAAUCAGCUAGCAAUAACUCAACAGACCAAUCUCUAAUGAAAUGCUAUUUGCUACAUUUUUUAAAUAGAAAAAUUAUUUCGAUCAGCCAGCCAUAACUCAACAGACCAAUCUGAACCCACAUUUUCUAAAGUAAAGAAAUUAUUUCCCUUGAUAGAUCAAGAUGCCAAAGUGUCAUUUGCCCGACUGCUAUGUUCCUACACACACAGAGCAAAUUAUUUUUCAAAUCAAGGAAUUAAGAAAAGGAAGAAUAUCAUGAUGUCCAUGGCACUUGCCAGGUCUGCCAUGCUACCGUGGCAUCGUCUUUGUAGUCUCUACCCACAUGUCGAGUUGAGAAAUAAUCUUCAGAUAUACCCACUGCUAACACACUCGCGUACAUAAUGUCCCUUGGCUGAUUGAUUUGGCUGACUAUUAACACAAGCACACAACACACAAAAUCAGUCAAUGGCCAUAUGUAUGCAUUUUUUUACUUUAUUCCAAUUGUGAUGCAAUCGUGACACCUACUCGCCCCGUCCGCUCACCCGUCACGGUAAUUGCCACUGGUGCCAACCGCUCGACCUCGCCACCGCCACUCACCACUCAGUCUCCACCGGCUGCCCAUUGCCUCUUGCGCCACCCGUGCGCUCGCUCGGCUCAAUGUUGUUGAUUGGAAUGCGGGACUGAAGGUAAUCCAUGGACAGGUUUUAGUUUUGCUUGCAUCAAUCUUCGGUACUUGUCUAUCCAUCUAACGCACAAAAAAUCGACUCUCUGACAUAAAAGUGAUCUAACUCUAUUGAUGAGCACGACAGUACAUACCAUCCCAUCAUGAUGUUGCCAUCUCUCACACUUGAUGAUUACAUCUUGUUAUUUCUAACAUGUACACCAUCGGGCCAUUGCUUUAUUAGAAAUAUAUUUACACAAUAUGAUGAGAGCAACAUCAAGGAGUCGGAUGCUGGUGCACAGAUUCUCCUCAAAUUCCACAUGCAACCCUUGUAGAGAAGAAUGACAUAUUUUUCUUAGGUGAUUUUUGACCGAGCUCCUACAGAAAAAUUCAAACAAAUCAUGAGGAGCAUGGAGCCAAGCAAACUAAUCAGAGUAAAUCAUGAGAGGAGAAGCCUCUCAACCUACUACAGGGAAUCGAGUCAACAUUAAUUCGUGUAAGAAUUAAACCGUAAUGUAGAUCAACAACCCAGUAGUUGAUAAAAUAACCCUGACACAACCCAUUAAUACAAUAUAUGGUCACAGGAAGUAGAUUGAGAUUGUGCAGAUAUCAUGAUCUACGAACCGUAUCUACGAAUAUUGAUUGCAAAGUCACAAAUAGAACCUCCUCACAUCACAAAACAAAUGUUUCAUCAACAGAAACUCUAGCGAAUGCCAAUUGGAUUAUAUAAGUAAGAUAGAGACAUCGAAAAAAAGAAAAGAUAAUUCAAAGAGUAUAUAUUCUAUUUUAUUACUUGACAUCACAGAGAAUGCAAGUCAAAGAUAUUGCGAUACAUCUUACACUUCUAUAAAUUGACUGCAAGGCACAACCCCUAGCAAAAUAUACAGAAUGAAUUGCUCCUGUGAUCCAAGUAUUGCAUAAAUAGUUGUAUACAGACUAUUCAAUAGUGAGCAUAAACAUGGCAUGUACUAACAAAAUCCCUUUGCAAUGGAGCUUAGUCUGCAUGUCUAUCCGUCUUUUUGUAAAUCAGUUGUGGCCAAGAUGUGCUGACAGCUCACAAGCCUCUCCCCGUUUACCAAUAAAACCAAAGCAGCUCAAAGCAAAAAAAAGAACAUAGAUAUAUGAACCUGAUGCAAUUGCUUGUAACUCCAGAGUGUUGGUAGAGUCGAGAAGAGAACACUCAGCCAAUGUUACAGCAGAUCGAUCUGUAGUCUUUGUUAGGGACGGCACCAUCAUUAGAGGUCCCAAUUGUAAAUCAAUCUGCAAGAGAUGGAGAUGCAACUGGAAGCUUACGGAUUUGAUGCAUUAAAACAGCCAUGGCCCAUGGGCAGAGGAGAAGUGACGGCAGCUGGGGAUCUGACGUGUCACAGACAGCAUGGGUAGAGGAGAGGCGGCGGCAGAUCAAGCCUUGGGCGUGGCAGGCGGAAGCACACUCACCCCUAUUGCACCCUUCCUACUUCCCCGUCCUUCUUCUCCUACCUCUCCUCCUCCCUGGAUCCUCCUAUGUCUCUCUUUUCUACAAGAAAAAUCGAAGCCCCGCCAUGACCUUGAGCUCCCCCUACCAACCAUAGAAAUUAGAUAUUUCCUAAUUGUUUGCAUAAAAAACAUACUGGCUGCAAGAGAAUGAAAGACUAACCUAUUGAUGAGCACAACAGUACAUACCAUCCCAUUAUGAUGUUGCCAUCUCUCACACUUGAUGAUUACAUCUUUUUAUUUCUAACAUGUACACCACCGGGCGAUUGCUUUAUUAGAAAUAUAUUUACACAAUAUGAUCAGAGCAACAUCAAGGAGUCGGAUGCUGGUGCACAGAUUCUCCUCAAAUUCCACAAGCUGAAAUUGAAGAGAAAACUGAAAGAAAGCUAUUAGUAACACCAAUUUAACCAGACACACCACACCACUAAUGACAAAAUAAAAAUUUAGAAGUUCCUAAAGAGGCCUUAUAUAUAAGAAGUGCAAGAUAGUGAUGAAACUACCAAAGCCACCAGAUCUUAGUACAGAUUAGUUAAGUAGACACUACUAUUUAGUAAGGAUGAACUAUAUUAUGGAUUUGAUUGGAAUAAGAAAAUAUCCUAUAAUAGCAUAUUAUACAAAGGCACAUAAAACAAUAAAGAGAAGUAAAAGUGGUAGUGAUGAACUUAUAAUAAUAAUAAUAAAUAGAUAGCACAUGACUCUUUUUAUACGACUUAUCAGCAGAAUCAGUGAGCCACAAUGGAGUUUUCUUGGGCUCAGGCUUUCUGCACACUGCCAUAUAGACCAAGUCAAACAUGGGUGGGCGGCCAAGAAUGUUGGGUUAUAGUUUUACAGAUAAAGAGAGGAGAAAUCACUUUGGCCUAUGAGCACAUCAUAAGAGAAGGCAACAUCACACACACAUAAGUACUUGUAACUGAAUUUAAGGAGGGCACAAUAUGUUGACAUAGGUGUGCCUACCAAAAAGAAAUGUCUAAAUGAAGAAAAAUCAAGUGUUUAGUAAUAUAAUACUACAAUGAUGAUGCAGACUAAAGUCUAAAUCAUCAAUGGUAAAUCCAUGGCACACAAAAAUUCUUCUCCAUAAUUGAUUUGCUCUCUUCAUCCAAAUGCCCAAACUCAUCACAACAUAGCAAAAUAGCCUGAAUGGAAUAAACCAUAUCUGAACCAUCAUAUGCAAUACACGAACCAUGUACUGAACUUAAUUGAUGUAUUACUACUGAACAUAGCAGAUUAGUCUCUAUGUGCAUGUAUUACUAAUUUACAGCUGAGCAGCCACUCUAAUGUAAUGAACUUAAGAACUGUUUGUUCCUCUUAAGCAACCCUGCAGUUUUCAUGAAAACUUUGGUUGUAGUGGUCCUAAAAUCACAGAUACAUGUACCUCUACAUCCACUUGGAGCUUCUUUGCAGCUUCCUCUCUAUGUUGCUAGACCAAUCUGCAGAUAAAAAAGGAUAAGGUAAAUAAUUGUUGUUUUAUUUGCCAAUAAUCAAACAACUAUGAUAUAGUAAGAAAAAAGUUAGUGGAGGUAUGGGAAGGACAAGUAGUUCUACUACACACAGAUGAUUAGGGGUCAGAGGGAAUUCAAGAUAAACCAAG